RNAcentral lists this ribosomal RNA (1227 nucleotides) under metagenome. RNAcentral describes it as "SSU rRNA". It matches the Rfam family "Eukaryotic small subunit ribosomal RNA", at positions 603 to 1823 of the family's 1831-position model. The record is from RNAcentral.
AUUAAAGUUGUUGCAGUUAAAAAGCUCGUAGUUGGACUUGUGUGCGCUGUCCGCGGGUGGCCUGCGCCCAAAAGGGCGUUUCGGUUCGGCCCCGGUGGCGCCUUGAAAUCUGCAGCUGGGGGGACGUUGGCCUUAACUGGUCGGCGACCGCACGCCGGCUGCUCGGUUACUGUGAGAAAAUUAGAGUGUUCAAGGCAGGCAUUGGGUGCAAUUGAAUACAUUAGCAUGGAAUAAUAAAAUAUGGCUCCUGCCGUAUUUUGUUGGUUUUGACCGGUGGGAGUAAUGAUUGAUAGGGACGGUUGGGGGUGCUAGUAUUGAGCGGCCAGAGGUGAAAUUCAUGGAUUCGCUCAAGACUAACUUAUGCGAAAGCAUUCACCAAGGACGUCCUCUUUAAUCAAGAACGAAAGUUGGGGGAUCGAAGACGAUCAGAUACCGUCGUAGUCUCAACCAUAAACUAUGUCGACUUGGGAUCGGCGGUAGUUUUUUCAUUAAGACACUGUCGGGACCACGGGAGAAAUCAAAGUGUCUGGACUCUGGGGGAAGUAUGGUCGCAAGGCUGAAACUUGAAGGAAUUGACGGAAGGGCACCACCAGGAGUGGAGCCUGCGGCUUAAUUUGACCCAACACGGGGAAACUUACCAGGUCCAGAGAUGUAGAGGAUUGACAGAUUGAAGCUCUUUCUUGAUCACUUCGGUGGUGGUGCAUGGCCGUUCUUAGUUGGUGGAGUGAUUUGUCUGGUUAAUUCCGUUAACGGACGAGACCUCAGCCUGCUAGUGUAGUCGGCUGGAUUGCCUUUGGCGAUCCGUGAUUUCGACUUCUUAGAGGGACAAUCGACGCGCAGUCGAUGGAAGUUUGAGGCAAUAACAGGUCUGUGAUGCCCUUAGAUGUUCUGGGCCGCACGCGCGCUACACUGCUGGGCUCAGCGAGUUUUACUUGGCCGAGAGGCCCGGUUAAUCUUGUGAAAUCCCAGCGUGCUUGGGCUCGCCUCCUGCAACUGGAGGCGCCAACGAGGAAUUCCUAGUAGACGCAGGUCAUCAACCUGCAUCGAUUACGUCCCUGCCCUUUGUACACACCGCCCGUCGUUCCAUAAGAGUGAGGCAUCCGGUGAAUUCUCGGGAGAGCCUGGGCGUGGCCAGCAAUGGUCUGCUCGGGUUUGAACUUGCAUAAACUUGGUGCCUAUGAUUAGGGAAAAGUCGUAACAAGGUUUCCGUAGGUGAACCUGCGGAAG